Helianthus annuus (common sunflower) is the source of this 1458-nucleotide long non-coding RNA. RefSeq lists it as uncharacterized. The record is from RefSeq and is a predicted model, not a curated record. The transcript is spliced from 8 exons. Lineage: Eukaryota; Viridiplantae; Streptophyta; Magnoliopsida; Asterales; Asteraceae.
ACCUUCUCUCAAUCUCUGUGCUAAAAAAUCACACUUUCCCACCCAAUCCCAAUUCUAUACCCAAUAUACCCAUUCAGUCACUUUCUCUCUCAAAUCUGGGUUCACAAUAGGAGAUAAAGAGAUGGUGUCCUUGGUGCUUUACAGGUAUUCGCAUUAAGAAGUAUGUGAAGGUUCGACAUGGGGAAGACAUUGGAGUUAGAUUUUUUCCGUUGAGGUCUCUUGUGAUGGUUCGGAGAUCAAGCCGAUUCUUAUCCUAGUUACACCGAAAUUUGUUGCCAUCGUCACCAUCUACAGCUUCGCCAUCUGUACCACCGGACCACCCUUCUUCUCCUCGUUUUGAACCCACCGGAAGUGUGAAGAAAUGGUUCUUCCCAUUUGCGAGGCAACGUAUAUGUCCACUAUAAGUCGUUGGAUUCAGCUGUGAUGGCUUACAGUUCUGUACAUGGUCGUUAUUUUACUGGCAAACAGGCAUGAUGACUGCUAGCAAUUUCAAAGGGCUUAACGCUAUGGCAGUGAUUUGGAAAUGUAACUGCAAGUAGCACAACUACCAGCGAUAAGUAUUUCAGAUAUAGCGGUUCCCUUACAACUCCUCCAUGCUCGGAGGGUAUCACUUGGACAGUUGCCGAAAAGGUCAAAACAAUUUCAAAGGACCAAAUUGCUAAAAGGGGCUGUUGAUCAUGAAUUUCAACAUAAUGCAAGGCCUGUCCAAGAUCUUAAUGGAAGAACAGUUACACAAUUUGAAGACAGAGUUAAAUGUGAGUUUGUUAGUCUAACUAGAUGGAAGGUUGCCAUAUGCUGGGAGUACAUGAAAGCAAGGCUCAAGGAAUCUCUCACAAUCGGUUGAUUUUACUUUCAAUUUGUACUCGGAUCAUGCGACUUUGGUGUUGAAGGUGCAUACAGGCUGAUUCGGCGAUCUAGGGUUCGGUCGACGGUUUCAAGGAUAAUGAUUUAGGGCUGUUUAGGGUGGUUACACUAAUUAUUUAGCAGCAAAAAAAAAAGACGACGAUGAUAUGGUCUUCUGAUAAUAUAGGGUGUUAAAAUAAUGAGAUUAUUCAUGGUCUUCUGUCUUCUGAUCAUUUAGGGUCAUGUUGUCAUCAAAGUUCGUUGCCAGGUACAAACUUUCAUGUUGGUGAUGACAUGUAGGAGAGUAGGAAAAGCUUCAAAAAAUUCAAGCAUAAUUAGAGAGAGAACGAGAGGCCUGACAAAACAUAGAAUCCCGUUUUGAAAAAUUUCAACAAGAGCGCGAAAAAGAGCGGACUGACCAAGCGGCAUGGCAAAAAACUACGGAAGAAAAACUGAAAAACAACGAAAAUAAGUAAAAACUUUCGUCUUGUUAAGUAUUGAAAUGUUAAAGAUUGGAUGAAUGCUUUUAAUAAGGAUUUUUUGUGCGUUUUGUAAUGUUUUAGAAUUUUUCGAAUGUUUGGAAUGUCUCAUAAUGUUGCUUUAAUAUUUUUGGAA